CAAGAAUCACCCAAGAGGCAAGCGCUUGGGCUGCCUACGAGGAACGAUUAUAUUCGGGCUGACAACAGCCAGACUCAACUAUUCCAGGAAUCAGAGCUUGAGGAAAGGAACAGAUGAAUGCUGGACCUGAAGGAGUUCAUGCUUAAAUAAGCCUCACCCUCAAGAACUGCGGAACUGAAGAAUGCAGGGGAUAUAACAUACUUG
Molecule: long non-coding RNA, 204 nt
Organism: Psammomys obesus (fat sand rat)
Lineage: Eukaryota; Metazoa; Chordata; Mammalia; Rodentia; Muridae
Exons: 3
Source: RefSeq, a predicted model, not a curated record